RNAcentral lists this ribosomal RNA (468 nucleotides) under uncultured bacterium. RNAcentral describes it as "partial 16S ribosomal RNA". It matches the Rfam family "Bacterial small subunit ribosomal RNA", at positions 28 to 507 of the family's 1533-position model. The record is from RNAcentral.
GACGAACGCUGGCGGCGUGCUUAACACAUGCAAGUCGGACGGAAAGGCCCUGCGUUUGUGGGGUGCUCGAGUGGCGAACGGGUGAGUAACACGUGAGUAACCUGCCCUUGACUUUGGGAUGACUUCAGGAAACUGGGGCUAAUACCGGAGAGGAGCUCCUGCUGCAUGGUGGGGGUUGGAAAGGUUCGGCGGUUGGGGAUGGACUCGCGGGUUAUCAGCUUGUUGGUGGGGUAGUGGCUUACCAAGGCUUUGACGGGUAGCCGGCCUGAGAGGGUGACCGGCACAAUUGGGAGUGAGAUACGGCACAGACUAGUACGGGAGGCAGCAGAGGGGAAUAUUGCACAAUGGGCGGAAGCCUGAUGCAGCAACGCCGCGUGCGGGAUGAAGGCCUUCGGGUUGUAAACCGCUUUCGCCUGUGAUGAAGCGUGAGUGACGGUAAUGGGUAAAGAAGCACCGGCUAACUACGUG